Molecule: ribosomal RNA, 696 nt
Filed under: uncultured Gilliamella sp.
Lineage: Bacteria; Pseudomonadati; Pseudomonadota; Gammaproteobacteria; Orbales; Orbaceae
Description: bacterial SSU rRNA
Rfam family: Bacterial small subunit ribosomal RNA
Source: RNAcentral
UAGAAUUCCACGUGUAGCGGUGAAAUGCGUAGAGAUGUGGAGGAAUACCGGUGGCGAAGGCGGCCUUCUGGACAGAUACUGACGCUGAGAUGCGAAAGCGUGGGGAGCAAACAGGAUUAGAUACCCUGGUAGUCCACGCUGUAAACGAUGUCGAUUUGGAGUUUGUUGCCUAGAGUGAUGGGCUCCGAAGCUAACGCGAUAAAUCGACCGCCUGGGGAGUACGGCCGCAAGGUUAAAACUCAAAUGAAUUGACGGGGGCCCGCACAAGCGGUGGAGCAUGUGGUUUAAUUCGAUGCAACGCGAAGAACCUUACCUGGUCUUGACAUCCACAGAAUCUUGCAGAGAUGCGGGAGUGCCUUCGGGAACUGUGAGACAGGUGCUGCAUGGCUGUCGUCAGCUCGUGUUGUGAAAAUGUUGGGUUAAGUCCCGCAACGAGCGCAACCCUUAUCCUUUGUUGCCAUCGGUUAGGCCGGGAACUCAAAGGAGACUGCCGUUGAUAAAGCGGAGGAAGGUGGGGACGACGUCAAGUCAUCAUGGCCCUUACGACCAGGGCUACACACGUGCUACAAUGGCGUAUACAAAGGGAGGCGACCUCGCGAGAGCAAGCGGACCUCAUAAAGUACGUCUAAGUCCGGAUUGGAGUCUGCAACUCGACUCCAUGAAGUCGGAAUCGCUAGUAAUCGUGGAUCAGAAUGU